GAGUUUGAGAGCUUAAACAAAAGGUAAGAUCUCUAAUCUGCUUCUGUUUUUUCAGAUACAUUUUUUGGGCGAGUGUUAUUUUUUUGGGUGGUAAUUAAUGCGAAAAUUAGUAGACAUGGAACUGAUUUGUUUUCUUGUGGACCUUUUUCUUGUCUGUAUAUUUUCUUCACGGUUUUCACUGAUUGUUUGUGCCACCUUUCUCUGUUUGUCAUUUAUUACGAUUUUGAGAUUUUUCCCUUAGCUGACAUUUGACUGGAAAUCGACAUGCUUGUAUAAUUUUUUUGCACCUAAUUUAUAGCUUCAUCUCUCAUUCUCUUCUAGUUUAAUUUCAUUCUACACUUGAAUGAAUCUCCUCAUUUGAUUCGUAGAUUUGUGAAAUUAUUCAUUCCCGUUCUCUCAAUUGUACACCUGCUAUUUUACUUGAAUAAAGAUUUUUCUGAUAUUCUCAAAUAAGAGAAUUAUCAGCAUUGGCUGGUUUUUGCAUCUUAUGUCGCCUGUUAAACGUUU
RNAcentral lists this unclassified non-coding RNA (507 nucleotides) under Hevea brasiliensis (rubber tree). Lineage: Eukaryota; Viridiplantae; Streptophyta; Magnoliopsida; Malpighiales; Euphorbiaceae. The record is from RNAcentral.